Molecule: long non-coding RNA, 1378 nt
Organism: Musa acuminata AAA Group (dessert banana)
Lineage: Eukaryota; Viridiplantae; Streptophyta; Magnoliopsida; Zingiberales; Musaceae
Exons: 4
Source: RefSeq, a predicted model, not a curated record
UUUUGGUUCUCUCGUUAUUUGGAGAUUACAACCCGUUUUGUGCCAAACAGAAAGAGAACGUGACCGUGUCUCGAUCGCCCUCAUCUUUCCCUUCCACUCCCUUCAUCACAUCGGAACCCUUUAAACCCUAACAUCGUUCUCCAGACCCGACCAAUUCCGCUUCCUUUGGAAUAUUAAUCCAAAGAUUAUGGAUGAGACAAGGGUAAAUGAUAUUCGCACCAAAUUAUAUGAAGGACUUCUCCAGUAGGACAAGUAUUGUUUCCAAAGGCAAGCUUUGAAUUGUACCCAACUGUUUCGUGGAUAGCGUGUUGGAAAACUCAGAUCUUUCAAAUCCGGUGCUGGUGUGCUCAAGCGCUUAACCAGCUCUUUGCUGUCCCUAUAUUGAAAAAUGAUCAUAGAAGAUUAUGAUCCAUUAGGUUCUCACCUGCUCUACUCCCAACACCUUGAAAGCGUGCAGAAAAAUCUAGUAUUUCCCUUACUGUCAUCUCGGGAAUAUGUAGGUCAUAUUGGCUUAUGUAAGCUGAUGUCUUCUCAGGCACGAACUCUUCCAAUCCAAGGCCGUUAUUUUUCUUCAGCAACAUUUCCAUCAUCUCGAUGAUCAAAAACAGAUGUUCUCACUCGUUCAAGGGUGGGUAAUCUCUCAAUUGCAGCCCAAGUCAACUCAUGCUCAUCGUCAUCAUCAGCCCUCGUAGAACCAACACUGGAGUUUCUUCGAAAACUUGAUGCAGCAAUUCUGAAUGAUGACCUGAUGCUUCUUUCUAUCUCUGCUAACUCAACACUCAGGGUCUCACUUUCGUUCCUGCCCAGCUGAUCCAUCUCUUCUUCUCGAGUCAUUGGGAGCAAGACAGUGGCUACUGUCAUUUGAAGUGUAUGGUAUUUGUCAUUCAACUAAUCUGAAUGUGAUGGUUGAAUUUUCAGUUGAAGGAGGUGCAUCGUGGAGCUUCCACACAUUCUCUUCCUUUGUAUCCGCCUAAUCUUAUAACUUUUAUGACGUCGGUAACCAAUCUUUUUUAUUUGUCCCCAAUUAUUUACACUGGUUGCACUGGAAGACUUAGAUUUCUUCACUAUUUUAAUGUGCUUGUGUAAUUAAUAAGAUACCUGGCUGUGCUGGCAAACUUGCAGAUCCACCAAUGGCAUGUGGAAUUGUGUUCAUUGAUGGGGAUUCCAAAGUUUUUUCAACAAGUGACGAGAUUUUGUUUCUGGGAAACUGUACUUGGUUGUGAUUUAUAUUUGUCUUGAGAAAGGUAUGCAUCCCACCAUAAAAUAUUUUCCCUUUGGCGAAUCAUUACAUGUUGUUGGUGGUGGUGGUGGUGGUGAAUAACUAUGUCCAAUUGAUGAGAGUACAAUUCUUCUCACCACUGCUGCUUGAAUUCUUCGA